CCCUUAGAUGUUCUGGGCCGCACGCGCGCUACACUGAUGCAUUCAACGAGUGUACCUUGGCCGAGAGGCCUGGGCAAUCUUUUGAACGUGCAUCGUGAUAGGGAUAGAUUAUUGCAAUUAUUAAUCUUGAACGAGGAAUUCCUAGUAAACGCAGUUCAUCAAACUGCAUUGAUUACGUCCCUGCCCUUUGUACACACCGCCCGUCGCACCUGCCGAUUGGAUGGUCCGGUGAAGCCUCGGGAUUGUGGCGGUUGCCUUUAUUGGUGGCCGCCGCGAGAACUUGUCUAAACCUUAUCAUCUAGAGGAAGGUGAAGUCGUAACA
RNAcentral lists this ribosomal RNA (322 nucleotides) under uncultured eukaryote. RNAcentral's name for it is "partial 18S ribosomal RNA". It matches the Rfam family "Eukaryotic small subunit ribosomal RNA", at positions 1470 to 1796 of the family's 1831-position model. The record is from RNAcentral.